GGUUAAGUGAAUAAGGGCGCACGGUGGAUGCCUUGGCACUAGGAGCCGAUGAAGGACGGGACUAACACCGAUAUGCUUUGGGGAGCUGUAAGUAAGCUAUGAUCCAGAGAUUUCCGAAUGGGGGAACCCAAUAUCUUUUAUAGGAUAUUACUUUUCAGUGAAUACAUAGCUGAUUAGAGGUAGACGCAGAGAACUGAAACAUCUUAGUACCUGCAGGAAGAGAAAGAAAAUUCGAUUCCCUGAGUAGCGGCGAGCGAAACGGGAAGAGCCCAAACCAACAAGCUUGCUUGUUGGGGUUGUAGGACUCCAAUAUGGUAGUCUGUUAGUAUAGUUGAAGGAUUUGGAAAAUUCCGCUAAAGAGGGUGAAAGCCCCGUAGACGAAAUGCUGACAACACCUAGGAGGAUCCUGAGUACGGCGGAACACGAGAAAUUCCGUCGGAAUCCGCGGGGACCAUCCCGCAAGGCUAAAUACUCCCUAGUGACCGAUAGUGAACCAGUACCGUGAGGGAAAGGUGAAAAGCACCCCGGAAGGGGAGUGAAAUAGAUCCUGAAACCGUGUGCCUACAACAAGUCAAAGCUCGUUAAUGAGUGAUGGCGUGCCUUUUGUAGAAUGAACCGGCGAGUUACGAUUGCAUGCGAGGUUAAGUCGAAGAGACGGAGCCGCAGCGAAAGCGAGUCUGAAUAGGGCGAAUGAGUAUGUAGUCGUAGACCCGAAACCAUGUGAUCUACCCAUGUCCAGGUUGAAGGUGCGGUAAAACGCACUGGAGGACCGAACCCACGUACGUUGAAAAGUGCGGGGAUGAGGUGUGGGUAGCGGAGAAAUUCCAAACGAACUUGGAGAUAGCUGGUUCUCUCCGAAAUAGCUUUAGGGCUAGCCUCGGAAUUGAGAAUGAUGGAGGUAGAGCACUGUUUGGACUAGGGGCCCAUCUCGGGUUACCGAAUUCAGAUAAACUCCGAAUGCCAUUCAUUUAUAUCCGGGAGUCAGACUGCGAGUGAUAAGAUCCGUAGUCGAAAGGGAAACAGCCCAGACCACCAGCUAAGGUCCCAAAAUAUAUGUUAAGUGGAAAAGGAUGUGGGGUUGCACAGACAACUAGGAUGUUGGCUUAGAAGCAGCCACCAUUUAAAGAGUGCGUAAUAGCUCACUAGUCGAGUGACCCUGCGCCGAAAAUGUACCGGGGCUA
Molecule: ribosomal RNA, 1181 nt
Filed under: Enterococcus faecalis
Lineage: Bacteria; Bacillati; Bacillota; Bacilli; Lactobacillales; Enterococcaceae
Description: partial 23S ribosomal RNA
Rfam family: Bacterial large subunit ribosomal RNA
Source: RNAcentral